This 1056-nucleotide long non-coding RNA is filed under the name Physcomitrium patens. RNAcentral's name for it is "long non-coding RNA (PPAT_LNC007093)". The record is from RNAcentral. Lineage: Eukaryota; Viridiplantae; Streptophyta; Bryopsida; Funariales; Funariaceae.
AGGUUUGCAAUAAAUCCGUAAUAUAGUUAAGUGAUUGCAUCUUUUUUUCAGCUAAGUUUGUCAUUACUAAUCAAAUAAUAUUGGAUAGCAUUUAGUACUUAGCUUCAUGUAGCAAUAUCCAUGAGAGUAUCCUAUUAAAGAUCAAAGCACUUCUUAGAAAUUUUAUUUGAUCCAAGGAUCUAAAUAAACAAACUUAAGCUAAAGUAGUAUGAGACAUGACAAUUACUCCUACUAUUAAGGAAAGUAUUAAGAUGUCUAAUUCUUUCGGUCAAAUCCAAACUCUAUUGACUAAACUAAUACUAAAGACAUUAUCAUAUUACGUAUUGUCUUGCUUCAGAAUGCACCAGGCACGUAGCUAUAGAAGGUGAGGUUGUGUUUUACAAACAUCCAAAAAAUCCUAAUAGGUUUUACCCAUAUGAAAAGAAUAUAAUUCAAAUUUUCAUUCAAAAGUGCUAAAAAACACUCUUUUUAGUAGUUUCAUUCACACAUAAACCUCAAUUACCUUGUUACUUUCAUAUUUAAGUAAUUUAGAUUUUUUUUAUAAGCCCCAAUCCUAAUUAGUGAGCUUUAAUAAGCUGUAACUUCUAAUCUUACUAUCCACUUGAUGUAAAAUUUUGCAUGCAAUUUUCAAUGUAAGUCUUCUAUAUGCUCAAGAAUUUUUAGUCAAAUCCAACUUAUAGAUUGUAAGAAAACCUCCAAAAAUUACACUAAUAUAACUUGGCUACCAACUUGAAAAGUAAAGUGAAAAUCCUAGUAGUGAUUUAUCUUUCUCUAACCAUCAACUUUGUCUCAAAAUUGGUGUGUAUAUUGAUCUUGAAGUCUUUCAAUACCAUGCCAAAUUUCAUCUUGAUCCAAUUAGUAGAUCUCUAGAUAUAAGAGAAAUUCUAUCCAACCCCAAACUGCCAACUUUUAAAACCCUCUUGUGCUAAAAACUAGAUAUCUCUAAACCACUCCAUUAGAUUAUCACAAAAUUUUGUAUACACUUAGUACACCUAAUAAUCCAAAUAGUUAUAAAUUUUGAAUUAUAGAUGUUAUAGCAAUUGCACGAACUAGCCA